CCUACGGGUGGCAGCAGUGAGGAAUAUUGGUCAAUGGGCGUAAGCCUGAACCAGCCAAGUCGCGUGAGGGAUGAAGGUUCUAUGGAUCGUAAACCUCUUUUAUAAGGGAGCAAAGGGCGCCACGUGUGGCGUUUUGCGAGUACCUGAAGAAAAAGCAUCGGCUAACUCUGUGCCAGCAGCCGCGGUAAUACGGAGGAUGCGAGCGUUAUCCGGAUUUAUUGGGUUUAAAGGGUGCGCAGGCGGAAUGUCAAGUCAGCGGUAAAAUUUCGGGGCUCAACCCCGUCGUGCCGUUGAAACUGGCGUUCUUGAGUGAGCGAGAAGUAUGCGGAAUGCGUGGUGUAGCGGUGAAAUGCAUAGAUAUCACGCAGAACUCCGAUUGCGAAGGCAGCAUACCGGCGCUCAACUGACGCUCAUGCACGAAAGCGUGGGUAUCGAACAGGAUUAGAUACCCUAGUAGUC
Molecule: ribosomal RNA, 459 nt
Filed under: uncultured bacterium
Lineage: Bacteria
Description: partial 16S ribosomal RNA
Rfam family: Bacterial small subunit ribosomal RNA
Source: RNAcentral